AAUAAGCCGCCGUCAGGCUGUUCUGUUACUCGCUAGGUCACGGAGGCUUCGCCGAGCGCCGGCGAUCUUCGCCGGGAAAAAGGAGUCACGUCAGCAAUGUGGGCCCAUAAGAGAUUGGUCUCCUUCUCUUUCACUCCCUAUUAGCAAAUUAGUUUCUUUUGUCGUCUGCUGUUUUGUGGCGCGAAAUCUGGAUUUGAAUUGACUAUGGGACUCCCUUAAGGGGAUGUCGUCCCAAAAAACACUUUUUUUCUAUUACAUAAAACUUUUUGAAUAAAGUUUGCAAAUGAAAAACCGAGUCUGUAGCGCCGUAGUGUUAAGUUUAAUGAAUCGUUCUACUAAAAGAAAAUUACGAUCGGACUUUUUGUUUUUCUAAAAUCUUGGAAAUACGAACAGAUGUUUACGCGUACUUCGUCGUACUCAUGCGAUUGUAGCGCCAACCUUAAAAUCUAAUUUUACAUAAAACUUUUCAAAUAAAGCUUGCCAAUGAAAAACCGAGUCUGUAGCGCCGUAGUAUUAAGUUUAAUGAAUCAUUCUACCGAAAGAAAAAUCGAUCGGACUUUUUAUUUUUCUAGAAGUUUGGAAAUACAAAAUACCCCGUGGCGGAUUUGCGAAGCUUUUGCGCCGACAUCCCCUUAAGGGAAAAAAAGGCGGAGGCGUGAACUAGACUGACCGCUGGACGCUGACGCACAGCGCAAGUGUGCAGACUGUGCACGCUGCGCUUGCGAAUUGCGUAUGAUCAAGGUGCGUAAUUCGUAAUUCGUACAUACUUGCGUAUGAUCAAGGUGCGUAAUUCGUAAUUCGUACAUACAUACUUGCGUAUGAUCAAGGUGCGUAAUUCGUAAUUCGUACAUACAUACUUGCGUAUGAUCAAGGUGCGUAAUUCGUACAUACAUUCUUGCGUAUGAUCAAGGUGCGUAAUUCGUACACACAUACUUGCGUAGCAAGUUGAUGGCCAUACAGACCUCUUGUACUACUAACCAUAAAGAAGAAGAAGUAAGACGACUUGCGCUUAGGGUACUUUAUUAUAUUUUUUCGGAUGGGCACUUAUACUUAAUGAUUCUAGUAUUUCUAGUUGGAAAUUGUAUUCGAUUAUUUUACGCAUAAUGGAAGAGGAUAUUUUUCUGGCAGCUGAAAAAAUAUUAUCUGAUAUUGAAAAUAUCUUACGGAAGGAUACAAAUUUGUGAGCAUUUAAUUAAUGAUAGUAUAUAGGUUUUUAACUUACAGCAAACAAAUAUUUUUUUAUUUUAAGGAUAAGUUUUGAAAUAAUACCUGUUAAAGACAAUGAAAAUAAAUCGCCAAUAUUUUAUGAAAAAAAUUCACUUGGCCUUGCAUCUUGGUGCAUCCAACCUCUUUACUGCUAUGUUUAUAAUCGACUGAUAGAUCUAAGACAAAAUCUGCAUCAACGAGAAGAACCAGAAGUUAUUGCCCGAUGGCUUUUAGGGGCUCUUUUAUUAAAUCCCGACGUUUCAACAUUCUGGAAUAUGAGAAGAGGAUUGUUGCGAAGUAGUAAAAUUGAUCCUAUAAAAGAAUUACAAUUUAUAGAUGUGAUCCUUUACUUUAAAGCAAAAUGUUUUGAAGCAUUUUCAUACCGACGCUCUGUUUUGCAGUUUAUACUUAUUAAUGAUCGAGGAUCAACCUAUAACGUAGAAACAAUAUUACGAAAUGAAUUUUAUAUUACUUCUCUAGCAGCGGAAAGGUAUAAGAACAAUUCUCAUGCUUGGAGUCAUCGUGAGUACAUUAUUCGUAUGUUUGAAUUGAAAUGUACUAAAGAAAUUGAUAUUCUUUUAACCGAGGAAUGGGAAGAAUCUACAAAGUGGUGCAAUAAUCAUGUAUCUGAUUAUAGUGGUUUUGCUUAUAGACAAUUCCUGUUAAAAAAAUUACUUUUACGCGCACAGUGCCCUGAACAAUCCGAAUAUUUUCAUAAAAUAUGUAAACGGCGAGAAAUUAUUUAUGAAUUUGUAAAAAAUACUAUUAAAGAUUGUUGUGAUGCUUUAAGUGAUAAAAGUGAUGAGGAAGUUUUAAACCGUUUACAUGGUGUCAUUUCUAUAAAAUCUUCUGAAAUAACAUUUAAACAGACAUUAAUAAAUCUAUCAUAUUGGGUUGAAGACUGCAUCAUUAACGAAGAUUUACUUAACGCUUUUCCAGGACAUGAAUCUUUGUGGUAUCAUAGACGUUUUCUUGUUUUUUUAUUUAUUACUUUAAGUAAUUCCUAUGCUAAUUAUUUUACAUACAGGGUAGAAGAUUCAAAACUAUUUGAUAUAACAAAAGUUUAUAAUAAAAUAAAUAAACAUUCAGAAUCAACUAUCAUAACUGAAAAUACUUAUCAUAGUCUCUUAAGUAUGGCAUUUCGUUUGCGGAAUAAAGAUAUCAUGUUUGCUGCGAAACAAUAUGAAAAUUAUAGCAACGAUUUAGCAGAAAAGUUUUCGAACUUUCUUAUAUGCAUGAAAUUUGAAGUGUAGCAAUCAUUUUUUCUUAUAUGAUAUGUAUAAAGUAAUGUUUCAAACAAUUCUGUAAAAUAAUAGUUUGAUAAAACAUUCCUACUGAAGA
RNA transcript from Nasonia vitripennis (jewel wasp), 2547 nucleotides. It is a transcript of the gene named protein prenyltransferase alpha subunit repeat-containing protein 1, with no coding region annotated. The record is from RefSeq and is a predicted model, not a curated record. The transcript has 2 exons. NCBI's taxonomy places the organism in Eukaryota, Metazoa, Arthropoda, Insecta, Hymenoptera, Pteromalidae.